Molecule: transfer RNA, 68 nt
Filed under: Marmota monax (woodchuck)
Lineage: Eukaryota; Metazoa; Chordata; Mammalia; Rodentia; Sciuridae
Description: tRNA.Ala
Source: RNAcentral
GGAUUGUGGCUCAGCGGUAGAGCGCUUGCCUAGCACGUGAGAGGCCCUGGGUUCCAUCCUAAGCACCA